CGGCGGACGGGUGAGUAAUGCCUAGGAAUCUGCCUGGUAGUGGGGGACAACGUUUCGAAAGGAACGCUAAUACCGCAUACGACCUACGGGUGAAAGCAGGGGAUCUUCGGACCUUGCGCGAUUGAAUGAGCCGAUGUCGGAUUAGCUAGUUGGCGGGGUAAAGGCCCACCAAGGCGACGAUCCGUAGCUGGUCUGAGAGGAUGAUCAGUCACACUGGAACUGAGACACGGUCCAGACUCCUACGGGAGGCAGCAGCU
This 257-nucleotide ribosomal RNA is filed under the name uncultured Pseudomonas sp. RNAcentral describes it as "partial 16S ribosomal RNA". It matches the Rfam family "Bacterial small subunit ribosomal RNA", at positions 96 to 355 of the family's 1533-position model. The record is from RNAcentral. Lineage: Bacteria; Pseudomonadati; Pseudomonadota; Gammaproteobacteria; Pseudomonadales; Pseudomonadaceae.